CUACGGGAGGCUCCAGUGGGGAAUAUUGCACAAUGGACGAAAGUCUGAUGCAGCAACGCCGCGUGGAGGAUGACACAUUUCGGUGCGUAAACUCCUUUUGUAUAAGAAGAUAAUGACGGUACUAUAUGAAUAAGCACCGGCUAACUCCGUGCCAGCAGCCGCGGUAAUACGGAGGGUGCAAGCGUUACUCGGAAUCACUGGGCGUAAAGAGCGUGUAGGCGGGUUAAUAAGUUGGAAGUGAAAUCCUAUGGCUCAACCAUAGAACUGCUUCCAAAACUGUUAAUCUAGAAUAUGGGAGAGGUAGAUGGAAUUUCUGGUGUAGGGGUAAAAUCCGUAGAGAUCAGAAGGAAUACCGAUUGCGAAGGCGAUCUACUGGAACAUUAUUGACGCUGAGACGCGAAAGCGUGGGGAGCAAACAGGAUUAGAUACCCGCGUAGUC
Molecule: ribosomal RNA, 439 nt
Filed under: uncultured bacterium
Lineage: Bacteria
Description: partial 16S ribosomal RNA
Rfam family: Bacterial small subunit ribosomal RNA
Source: RNAcentral